This 468-nucleotide ribosomal RNA is filed under the name uncultured bacterium. RNAcentral describes it as "partial 16S ribosomal RNA". It matches the Rfam family "Bacterial small subunit ribosomal RNA", at positions 28 to 507 of the family's 1533-position model. The record is from RNAcentral.
GACGAACGCUGGCGGCGUGCUUAACACAUGCAAGUCGAACGGAAAGGCCCUGCUUUUGUGGGGUGCUCGAGUGGCGAACGGGUGAGUAACACGUGAGUAACCUGCCCUGGACUUUGGGAUAACUUCAGGAAACUGGGGCUAAUACCGGAUAGGAGCUCCUGCUGCAUGGUGGGGGUUGGAAAGUUUCGGCGGUUGGGGAUGGACUCGCGGCUUAUCAGCUUGUUGGUGGGGUAGUGGCUUACCAAGGCUUUGACGGGUAGCCGGCCUGAGAGGGUGACCGGCCACAUUGGGACUGAGAUACGGACCAGACUCCUACGGGAGGCAGCAGUGGGGAAUAUUGCACAAUGGGCGGAAGCCUGAUGCAGCAACGCCGCGUGCGGGAUGAGGGCCUUCGGGUUGUAAACCGCUUUCGCCUGUGACGAAGCGUGAGUGACGGUAAUGGGUAAAGAAGCACCGGCUAACUACGUG